CCUACGGGAGGCAGCAGUGAGGAAUAUUGGUCAAUGGACGCAAGUCUGAACCAGCCAUGCCGCGUGCAGGAAGACGGUUCUAUGAGUUGUAAACUGCUUUUGUACGAGGGUAAACGCAGAUACGCGUAUCUGUCUGAAAGUAUCGUACGAAUAAGGAUCGGCUAACUCCGUGCCAGCAGCCGCGGUAAUACGGAGGAUUCAAGCGUUAUCCGGAUUUAUUGGGUUUAAAGGGUGCGUAGGCGGUCGGAUAAGUUAGAGGUGAAAUCCCGAGGCUCAACUUCGGAAUUGCCUUUGAUACUGUUCAGCUAGAGAGUAGGAGCGGUAGGCGGAAUGUAUGGUGUAGCGGUGAAAUGCUUAGAGAUCAUACAGAACACCGAUUGCGAAGGCAGCUUACCAGGCUACUUCUGACGUUGAGGCACGAAAGCGUGGGGAGCAAACAGGAUUAGAUACCCCAGUAGUC
This 460-nucleotide ribosomal RNA is filed under the name uncultured bacterium. RNAcentral describes it as "partial 16S ribosomal RNA". It matches the Rfam family "Bacterial small subunit ribosomal RNA", at positions 338 to 795 of the family's 1533-position model. The record is from RNAcentral.